Molecule: non-coding RNA, 1185 nt
Organism: Arvicanthis niloticus (Nile rat)
Lineage: Eukaryota; Metazoa; Chordata; Mammalia; Rodentia; Muridae
Source: RefSeq, a predicted model, not a curated record
AUGUGGUGGUCCUUGAGCCCUAUCUCUUGCUUUCUGGCACUGACCUGUGCCUAUGACAAGCCUUCUUUCUACCCACUGUCGAAUGACCUGAUUAGCUAUAUCAACAAGCAGAAUACAGCAUGGCAGGCUGGACACAACUUCUACAAUGUUGACAUAAGCUAUCUGAAGAAGUUGUGUGGUACAGUCCUGGGUGGACUCAAGCUACCAGAAAGGGUUGGGUUCUGUGAGAACCUAAAUCUACCUGAAACCUUUGAUGCAGGGGAACAGUGGUCAAACUGCCUGACCAUCGAACAGAUUAGAGAUUAGGGGUCGUGGGGCUCUUGUUGGGCAUUUGUGAUAGUGAAAGCCAUUUCUGACCGAAUAUGCAUUCAUACCAAUGGCCGAGUCAACGUGGAGGUGUCUGCUGAGGACCUGCUUACCUGCUAUGGUAUCCAGUGUGGGGACGGCUGUAAUGGUGGCUAUCCCUCUGGAGCAUGGACCUUCUGGACGAUAAAAGGCCUGGUUUCUAGUAGAAUCUACAAUUCUCAUGUAAGUUGUUUGCCAUACACCAUUCCUUCCUGUGAGCGUCAUGUUAAUGGUUCUCGUCCUCCCUCCCCUCUCUCCCCCCCCCCCGCCCCCCGUGCACUGGAGGAGAUACUCCCAAGUACAAGAGCUGUGAGGCUGGCUACUCCCCAUUCUAUAAAGACAAUAAGAAUUAUGGGUGCACUUCUACAGCAUGUCUGACAGCAAGAAGGAGAUAGUGGUGGAAAUACACAAAAUUGGCCCAGUGGAGGUUGCCUUCACUGUGUUUGCUGACUUCUUGUGUUACAAAUCAGGAGUAUACAAGCAUGAAGCCGGUGAUAUGAUGGGUGACCACGCCAUCUGCAUCCUGGACUUGAGGUGUGUGCCUGUGUUUCCCUUAUGGCUGACAGCCAACUCUUGGAACAUUGACUGAGGAGAUAAUGACUUCUUUAAAAUCCUCAGAGGAGAGAACCACUGUGGGACUGAAUCAGAAGUUGUGGCCUGAAUCCCACACACUAACCAGUACUGGGGAAGAUUCUAAUCUACUGUGACUUGAUUAUCUAGUCCUUAGGGGCUUUUUCUAAAAUUUAGCAACCCAGGCAGGGAGUGAGGCAGACAGUAGAGUCUUUGAUUCUUUGAGUUCACCUAAUAUCCAUGAUGCUUUCAGCAAGGUUUGGGCAAUUG